UGGUGAUGAUGCUUCUACUCACGAUGGUCUUCAGAGCCCUCUCUGGUGAACGAGGGGCUGCUGACAAUGCCAGCGCGGCAGUCACUGAACCGUGGGG
This 97-nucleotide small nucleolar RNA is filed under the name Salvator merianae (Argentine black and white tegu). RNAcentral's name for it is "Small nucleolar RNA SNORD35 (ENSSMRG00000001843.1)". It matches the Rfam family "Small nucleolar RNA SNORD35". Rfam says of the family: U35 is a C/D box snoRNA located in intron 6 of ribosomal protein L13A and intron 3 of ribosomal protein S11 in humans and at homologous positions in mouse and chicken ribosomal protein genes. U35 guides the methylation of 2'-O-ribose sites in 28S rRNA. Lineage: Eukaryota; Metazoa; Chordata; Lepidosauria; Squamata; Teiidae. The record is from Rfam by way of RNAcentral.